UACGAAGGGGGCUAGCGUUGCUCGGAAUCACUGGGCGUAAAGGGUGCGUAGGCGGGUCUUUAAGUCAGGGGUGAAAUCCUGGAGCUCAACUCCAGAACUGCCUUUGAUACUGAAGAUCUUGAGUUCGGGAGAGGUGAGUGGAACUGCGAGUGUAGAGGUUGAAAUUCGUAGAUAUUCGCAAGAACACCAGUGGCGAAGGCGGCUCACUGGCCCGAUACUGACGCUGAUGCACGAAAGCGUGGGGAGCAAACAGG
RNAcentral lists this ribosomal RNA (254 nucleotides) under uncultured bacterium. RNAcentral's name for it is "partial 16S ribosomal RNA". It matches the Rfam family "Bacterial small subunit ribosomal RNA", at positions 524 to 776 of the family's 1533-position model. The record is from RNAcentral.